Molecule: long non-coding RNA, 266 nt
Filed under: Brassica napus (rape)
Lineage: Eukaryota; Viridiplantae; Streptophyta; Magnoliopsida; Brassicales; Brassicaceae
Description: long non-coding RNA (BNAP_LNC008717)
Source: RNAcentral
UGCGAUUAUAGAAACUAAGAUACAAUACGAUUUUCUGGCAUACACAUAUAAAAACUUACCUUAGGUGAUCUAUCGUAAUUAAGAUUUUAACGCCAACUUGCAUAAUGCAAAUAAUGGCGGAGCAAAUUGCCCAUGAUUCAAAUAUUAUUUGCAAGGACGAAAUUGAUUGAUAAUUGGGAAAAAGGAAACUUCUAAUAACUUUGACAUAUUUUUAAAUUACAAAUUUGGUAAACUAAUGGUAAUAAUACGUGAUUUGCAAGGACUUG